AGUGAACGCUGGCGGUAGGCCUAACACAUGCAAGUCGAACGGCAGCACAGUAAGAGCUUGCUCUUACGGGUGGCGAGUGGCGGACGGGUGAGGAAUACAUCGGAAUCUACUUUUUCGUGGGGGAUAACGUAGGGAAACUUACGCUAAUACCGCAUACGACCUACGGGUGAAAGCAGGGGAUCUUCGGACCUUACGCGAUUGAAUGAGCCGAUGUCGGAUUAGCUAGUUGGCGGGGUAAAGGCCCACCAAGGCGACGAUCCGUAGCUGGUCUGAGAGGAUGAUCAGCCACACGGGAACUGAGACACGGCCCAGACUCCUACGGGAGGCAGCAGUGGGGAAUAUUGGACAAUGGGCGCAAGCCUGAUCCAGCCAUACCGCGUGGGUGAAGAAGGCCUUCGGGUUGUAAAGCCCUUUUGUUGGGAAAGAAAAGCAGCAGGUUAAUACCCCGCUGUUCUGACGGUACCCAAAGAAUAAGCACCGGCUAACUUCGU
Molecule: ribosomal RNA, 491 nt
Filed under: uncultured bacterium
Lineage: Bacteria
Description: partial 16S ribosomal RNA
Rfam family: Bacterial small subunit ribosomal RNA
Source: RNAcentral